GGAAUAUUGGACAAUGGGCGAAAGCCUGAUCCAGCAAUGCCGCGUGUGUGAAGAAGGCCUUCGGGUUGUAAAGCACUUUAAGUUGGGAAGAAAAAACUCGCUCUAACACAGUGAGUCUUGACGGUACCGACAGAAUAAGCACCGGCUAACUCUGUGCCAGCAGCCGCGGUAAUACAGAGGGUGCAAGCGUUAAUCGGAUUUACUGGGCGUAAAGCGUGCGUAGGCGGUUUGCUAAGUCGGUUGUGAAAGCCCUGGGCUUAACCUGGGAAUUGCAGUCGAUACUGGCAGGCUAGAGAACGGUAGAGGGAGGCGGAACUCCAGGUGUAGCGGUGAAAUGCGUAGAUAUCUGGAAGAACACCGAUGGCGAAGGCAACCUCCUGGGCCUGUUCUGACGCUGAGGCACGAAAGCGUGGGUAGCAAACA
Molecule: ribosomal RNA, 423 nt
Filed under: uncultured Nevskia sp.
Lineage: Bacteria; Pseudomonadati; Pseudomonadota; Gammaproteobacteria; Nevskiales; Nevskiaceae
Description: bacterial SSU rRNA
Rfam family: Bacterial small subunit ribosomal RNA
Source: RNAcentral